CUAAGAAUAUUCCGCAAUGGACGGAAGUCUGACGGAGCGACGCCGCGUGGAUGACGAAGGCCGAAAGGUUGUAAAGUUCUUUUGCUGGGGAAGAAUAACCGCAGGAGGGAAUGCCUGUGGGAUGACAAGAACCGGCGAAUAAGCCCCGGCCAACUACGUGCCAGCAGCCGCGGUAACACGUAGGGGGCGAGCGUUGUUCGGAAUUACUGGGCGUAAAGGGCAUGUAAGCGGCUUGGAAAGCCUGGCGUGAAAGUCUGCAGCUUAACUGCAGGGGUGCGCUGGGAACUGCUGAGCUUGAGUGACGGAGAGGGAGCUGGAAUUCCUGGUGUAGGGGUGAAAUCUGUAGAUAUCAGGAAGAACACCGAUGGCGAAGGCAAGCUCCUGGCCGAUGACUGACGCUGAGGUGCGAAAGUGUGGGGAUCAAACAGGAUUAGAUACCCUGGUAGUCCACACAGUCAACGAUGUGCACUAGGUGCUGGGGCGGUAGCUUCGGUGCCGGAGCGAACGUGGUAAGUGCACCGCCUGGGGAGUAUGCUCGCAAGGGUGAAACUC
This 552-nucleotide ribosomal RNA is filed under the name uncultured bacterium. RNAcentral describes it as "partial 16S ribosomal RNA". It matches the Rfam family "Bacterial small subunit ribosomal RNA", at positions 355 to 902 of the family's 1533-position model. The record is from RNAcentral.